AGUGAGCGCUGGCGGCGUGCUUAACACAUGCAAGUCGAACGAGAACGGAUUAUAGCUUGCUAUAAUUGUCAGCUAAGUGGCGCACGGGUGAGUAAUGUAUAGGUAAUAUGCCUCUUACUAAGGGAUAACAAAUGGAAACGCUUGCUAAUACCUUAUACUCCUUAUUAACAGAAGUUAAUAAGGGAAAGAUUUAUUGGUAAGAGAUUAGCCUGUAUUGUAUCAGUUAGUUGGUGGGGUAAUGGCUUACCAAGACUAUGACACAUAACUGGUUUGAGAGGAUGAUCAGUCACACUGGAACUGAGACACGGUCCAGACUCCUACGGGAGGCAGCAAUGGGGAAUAUUGCACAAUGGACGAAAGUCUGAUGCAGCAACGCCGCGUGGAGGAUGACACAUUUCGGUGCGUAAACUCCUUUUAUAUGAGAAGAAAAUGACGGUAUUAUAUGAAUAAGCACCGGCUAACUCCGUGCCAGCAGCCGCCGUAA
This 484-nucleotide ribosomal RNA is filed under the name uncultured bacterium. RNAcentral's name for it is "partial 16S ribosomal RNA". It matches the Rfam family "Bacterial small subunit ribosomal RNA", at positions 29 to 523 of the family's 1533-position model. The record is from RNAcentral.